GCGUGUUCUCGCGGUUUCCCGCAUGCUGUCCGUACUAAACCUUUGCCUUCCAAGCAGAUGGUGCGAGUUCGAUUCUCGUCGCCCGCUCCA
Molecule: transfer RNA, 90 nt
Filed under: Bacteriophage sp.
Description: tRNA-Ser
Source: RNAcentral